This 299-nucleotide signal recognition particle RNA is filed under the name Cebus imitator (Panamanian white-faced capuchin). Its description in RNAcentral is "Metazoan signal recognition particle RNA (ENSCCAG00000015403.1)". It matches the Rfam family "Metazoan signal recognition particle RNA". From Rfam's summary of the family: The signal recognition particle (SRP) is a universally conserved ribonucleoprotein. It is involved in the co-translational targeting of proteins to membranes. The record is from RNAcentral. Lineage: Eukaryota; Metazoa; Chordata; Mammalia; Primates; Cebidae.
GCUGGGCGUGGUGGCACGUGCCUGUAGUCCCAGCUACUUGGGAGGCUGAGGUGGGAGGAUUGCUUGAGCCCAGGAGUUCUGGGCUGCAGUGCGCUAUGCCGAUCGGGUGUCUGCACUAAGCUCGGCAUCAAUAUGGUGACCUCCCAGGAGCAGGGGACCACCAGGUUGCCUAAGGAGGGGUGAACCGGCCCAGGUAGGAAAUGGUGCAGGUCAAAACUCCCGUACUGAUCAGUAGUGGGAUCACGCCUGUGACAAGCCAUUGCACUCCAGCCUGGGCAACACAGUGAGACCCCGUCUCU